This 1233-nucleotide ribosomal RNA is filed under the name metagenome. RNAcentral describes it as "bacterial LSU rRNA". It matches the Rfam family "Bacterial large subunit ribosomal RNA", at positions 1712 to 2925 of the family's 2925-position model. The record is from RNAcentral.
ACUAGGCAAAAUAGCACCGUAACUUCGGGAGAAGGUGCGCUGCUGACGGUGAAGGCCUUGCGCCGUAAGCUGUUGGCAGCCGAAGUAACCAGGCCGCUGCGACUGUUUAUUAAAAACACAGCACUCUGCAAACACGAAAGUGGACGUAUAGGGUGUGACGCCUCCCCGGUGCCGGAAGGUUAAUUGAUGGGGUCAGCCGCAAGGCGAAGCUCUUGAUCGAAGCCCCGGUAAACGGCGGCCGUAACGAUAACGGUCCUAAGGUAGCGAAAUUCCUUGUCGGGUAAGUUCCGACCUGCACGAAUGGCGUAACGAUGGCGGCGCUGUCUCCACCAGAGACUCAGUGAAAUCGAAAUCGCGGUGAAGAUGCCGUGUACCCGUGGCUAGACGGAAAGACCCCGUGAACCUUUACUGUAGCUUCACACUGGACUUUGACAUGAUCUGUGUAGGAUAGCUGGGAGGCUUUGAAGUGGUGACGCCAGUUGCCAUGGAGCCGUCCUUGAAAUACCAGCCUGGUCCUGUCGGGGUUCUAACGUCGACCUGUUAUCCAGGUUACGGACAGUGUGUGGUGGGCAGUUUGACUGGGGCGGUCUCCUCCCAAAGAGUAACGGAGGAGCACGAAGGUGCGCUAAUCACGGUCGGAAAUCGUGAGGUUAGUGUAAAGGCACAAGCGCGCUUGACUGCGAGACAGACAAGUCGAGCAGGUACGAAAGUAGGUCUUAGUGAUCCGGUGGUUCUGUAUGGAAGGGCCAUCGCUCAACGGAUAAAAGGUACUCCGGGGAUAACAGGCUGAUACCGCCCAAGAGUUCAUAUCGACGGCGGUGUUUGGCACCUCGAUGUCGGCUCAUCACAUCCUGGGGCUGAAGCCGGUCCCAAGGGUAUGGCUGUUCGCCAUUUAAAGUGGUACGCGAGCUGGGUUUAGAACGUCGUGAGACAGUUCGGUCCCUAUCUGCCAUGGGCGUUGGAGAUUUGAGAAGAGUUGCUCCUAGUACGAGAGGACCGGAGUGAACGAACCUCUGGUGUACCGGUUGUCACGCCAGUGGCAUUGCCGGGUAGCUAAGUUCGGACGGGAUAACCGCUGAAAGCAUCUAAGCGGGAAGCCUCCUUCAAGAUGAGAUCUCCCUGGAGCUUUAAGCUCCCUAAAGGGCCGUCGAAGACUACGACGUUGAUAGGCGAGGUGUGGAAGCGUUGUGAGACGUUGAGCUGACUCGUACUAAUUGCCCGUGCGGCUUGACC